GUGAAUCAUCAAAUUUUUGAACGCAAAUUGCACUCUCUGGUAUUCCGGAGAGUAUGCCUGUUUGAGGGUCAUUUUAAAUAAAAAUCGGUGUGGUUGCUGCCUUUCGUGGUGACGCACCGGAUUUGGGUCGUCUUGCCGUCGGUUAAGUGACCUAACGUGUGCCAUGAUUUUUUUCUAGCUUAGUUAGACUAGUGUACGUACGUUGGCGAUAUCGAAUACUAGGUGGGUUCAUCCUGAUGAUUGGCGCCUAAA
This 252-nucleotide unclassified non-coding RNA is filed under the name Glomus sp. Its description in RNAcentral is "partial contains 5.8S ribosomal RNA and internal transcribed spacer 2". The stretch from base 1 to 71 matches the Rfam family "5.8S ribosomal RNA", at positions 84 to 154 of the family's 154-position model. Lineage: Eukaryota; Fungi; Glomeromycota; Glomeromycetes; Glomerales; Glomeraceae. The record is from RNAcentral.